AACGUAGGACGCAAGCGUUAUCCGGAGUUACUGGGCGUAAAGCGCGGGCAGGCGGCUCGAAACGUCUGAUGUGAAAUCUCCUCGCUCAACGGGGAGAGGCCAUUGGAAACGGUCGAGCUGGAGGGCAGUAGAGGCAGGCGGAAUUCCGGGUGGAGUGGUGAAAUGCGUAGAGAUCCGGAGGAACACCAGAGGCGAAGGCGGCCUGCUGGGCUGCACCUGACGCUGAACCGCGAAAGCCAGGGGAGCGAACGGG
Molecule: ribosomal RNA, 253 nt
Filed under: uncultured bacterium
Lineage: Bacteria
Description: partial 16S ribosomal RNA
Rfam family: Bacterial small subunit ribosomal RNA
Source: RNAcentral